UACGUAGGUGGCAAGCGUUGUCCGGAAUUAUUGGGCGUAAAGCGCGCGCAGGCGGUUUCUUAAGUCUGAUGUGAAAGCCCUCGGCUCAACUGAGGAAUGGCAUUGGAAACUAGCUGGCUGGAGUACCGGAGAGGGAAGCGGAAUUCCUGGUGUAGCGGUGAAAUGCGUAGAUACCAGGAGGAACACCGGUGGCGAAGGCGGCUUCCUGGCCGAGUACUGACGCUGAGGCACGAAAGCGUGGGGAGCGAACGGG
RNAcentral lists this ribosomal RNA (253 nucleotides) under uncultured bacterium. Its description in RNAcentral is "partial 16S ribosomal RNA". It matches the Rfam family "Bacterial small subunit ribosomal RNA", at positions 524 to 776 of the family's 1533-position model. The record is from RNAcentral.